AGGGAAUCUUCCGCAAUGGACGAAAGUCUGACGGAGCAACGCCGCGUGAGUGAUGAAGGUUUUCGGAUCGUAAAGCUCUGUUGCCAGGGAAGAACGUCCGUUAGAGUAACUGCUAACGGAGUGACGGUACCUGAGAAGAAAGCCCCGGCUAACUACGUGCCAGCAGCCGCGGUAAUACGUAGGGGGCGAGCGUUGUCCGGAAUUAUUGGGCGUAAAGCGCGCGCAGGCGGCUGUUUAAGUCUGGUGUAUAAUCCUGGGGCUCAACUCCGGGUCGCACUGGAAACUGGAUGGCUUGAGUGCAGAAGAGGAGAGUGGAAUUCCACGUGUAGCGGUGAAAUGCGUAGAGAUGUGGAGGAACACCAGUGGCGAAGGCGACUCUCUGGGCUGUAACUGACGCUGAGGCGCGAAAGCGUGGGGAGCAAAC
RNAcentral lists this ribosomal RNA (424 nucleotides) under uncultured bacterium. Its description in RNAcentral is "bacterial SSU rRNA". It matches the Rfam family "Bacterial small subunit ribosomal RNA", at positions 356 to 773 of the family's 1533-position model. The record is from RNAcentral.